Pan troglodytes (chimpanzee) is the source of this 540-nucleotide long non-coding RNA. RefSeq lists it as uncharacterized. Lineage: Eukaryota; Metazoa; Chordata; Mammalia; Primates; Hominidae. The record is from RefSeq and is a predicted model, not a curated record. The transcript has 4 exons.
GUCCAUGAGUCUAUGGAACCAGCAAAGCAUGAAAGGUUUAAGACACUUCAUCAGUUGGGUUUUCUUGCCUUGGAAAAGGGGGAAUAGAAAAUGAUUUGAGUUGAGAAAACCCUUCUUUGAAGCUAUGUGCAGCUUUUAACAGUUGGAUAAAGUAAACUCUUAGAAAUUGGAGUGUAUUUCUUUCUCUCUACCUGAUUUCCCCAGAAUUUGAAAACUAUUUGACACCAUUGGAGAAACUGGUUAUUUUACCAAGGCUCUGACUGGAAUGGCAUACUUUCAGAUGGAAACAGACUAAGGAAUCAAAGUUGACUUAUACAGCCAAUAAAAAGCCCCUUGGGAAAACUGGCUUCACACCUUGUCUACAUAGUCUCUAUACAGGGUUUCCUGAUCUGUGGAAUGCCUCUUAUUAAAAAUCUGUUUGCCUUCAUUACAUGCAGAGGCCUAGCCUAUCUGCAAUGCCACCUCCUGGAUGAGGCACAGCUAUUCACCUAAACUGGUCCAUUCUCAAGAACUAGACAUGGCUUGGGACUACCUUCAUGG